Molecule: ribosomal RNA, 425 nt
Filed under: uncultured bacterium
Lineage: Bacteria
Description: bacterial SSU rRNA
Rfam family: Bacterial small subunit ribosomal RNA
Source: RNAcentral
GGGCCCGCACAAGCGGUGGAGCAUGUGGUUUAAUUCGAUGAUACGCGAGGAACCUUACCAGGGCUUAAAUGCAGAACGACCGGCGUGGAAACAUGCCUUUCUUCGGACGGACUGCAAGGUGCUGCAUGGUCGUCGUCAGCUCGUGCCGUGAGGUGUCGGGUUAAGUCCCAUAACGAGCGCAACCCCUAUCUUUAGUUGCCAGCGGAUAAUGCCGGGGACUCUAGAGAAACUGCCAGCGUAAGCUGUGAGGAAGGUGGGGAUGACGUCAGAUCAUCACGGCCCUUACGUCCUGGGCUACACACGUGCUACAAUGGCAAGGACAAUGAGCUGCCAACCCGCGAGGGUGAGCAAAUCUUCAAACCUUGUCUCAGUUCGGAUCGGAGUCUGCAACUCGACUCCGUGAAGUUGGAAUCGCUAGUAAUCGC